RNAcentral lists this ribosomal RNA (2919 nucleotides) under Triticum aestivum (bread wheat). RNAcentral describes it as "partial small subunit ribosomal RNA". The record is from RNAcentral. Lineage: Eukaryota; Viridiplantae; Streptophyta; Magnoliopsida; Poales; Poaceae.
AUGGGGACCUUCGGUGGCCAGUUCGAGGACUUCCACGCAGACGACCGGCGUGCGGAGGUGAUAGAUUGGCUCGGCGGGCUGCUGCCGGAGUUCGAUUUGCCGCUGGAUUCUUCAGACGAGGAGCUGCGGGAGUACCUUAUCGAUGGGACGGCGCUGUGCUACACUGCGGACAAGCUCAUGCCUGGUGUUCUGGAGGGGGUUUGGGGUGGUUAUGCAUCAGACCAUCGGUCAAAUGUGAAGAAGUUCCUCUCUGUUAUCGCGGAGAUGGGGCUGCCAGGAUUCAGCGUCAAGGAUCUUGAGGAGGGAUCAAUGUCGUCUAUAGUAGAGUGUCUCUUGGCUCUAAGAGAUAAUGUGUCAGCAGGAUUGGGUGAAAAUAUGUCUAACUAUGCUGCUAAGACUCCUUCAAGGCCUGUGGCUCCAGUUUCCACACCAGGAAGGAGAUCUCCUGGAGAGGAUAGAAGAAGGGGUGUUUGGGACGCCAAAUCCCCACAAAGAAGUCCACUUCUUUCAGGACAGAAGGCCAACGAGGUUUUCCAAUUUAAGCGUGGACAAUACACAGAUCUUCCUGCUGCUAAGAUUUCAGAGAUGAUCCAGUCAAACAGUUUAGAUAAUGCCCCCACUCAAUCACUUCUUAGAGUUGUUAACGGCAUUCUGGAUGAAAGUAUUGAGAGAAAAAGAGGAGAAAUACCACAUCGAGUUGUUUAUUUACUAAGGAACGUUGUUCAAGAGAUUGAGCACCGCAUUUCUAUUCAAGCAGAACACAUUAGAAAUCAAAAUAACAUCAUCAAAACACGCGAGGAUAAGUACCGUUCAAAAAUUAAAGCACUCGAGACAUUAGUAAAUGGAACAAAUGAAGAAAACGAGAUGGCAAUAAACCGUCUUGAGCUAGUUAAGGUAGAGAAGUCAAAAAUUGAUGAGAGAAGAAAGAUAGGCGAGCAAGACAUGGUCCGGCUGAUGCGUGAAAAGGAAAAUGCAGAGAAUACAGUUACUAACCUUCAGCAGGAAAUUCAAGUCAUGAGCAGGAUGUUCGAAGAAUACAGGGAGCAGAUGGAAGAAAAAACAAGCCAAAUGGAGGAACACUUGACUCUAAGAGCUAAGGAGGCAGAGUUUCUUCUUAUGCAAUCGAAAAAGAGAGUUGAAGAACUUGAAACUGCUUCUGAACUACAAUUGCAACUCUGGAGCAAGAAGGCAAAUACUUUUCGAAGUUUUAUGGAUAACCAAAAACUGUGUAUUAAGGAUAUAAGGAUAUCGUCUCAGUCAAUUAAGCAGGAAAUGUUUGCCCUUCAAAUGAAAUGGAGGGAUGAAAUAUCUAACAUGGGACUUGACCUAAAAGGUUUGGUAGAUGCCGCUGAAAAUUACCAUGGCGUUCUUGCUGAAAAUCAGAAGUUAUUUAAUGAAGUGCAAGAACUAAAAGGUAAUAUAAGAGUAUACUGUCGUGUCAGACCAUUUCUUCCUGGUCAAGACGGAAAAUCAACCGCAGUUGAUUAUAUUGGUGAGAAUGGUGAAAUUCUCAUUUCAAACCCCUCCAAGCAAGGAAAGGAUGGCUAUCGGAUGUUCAAGUUUAACAAGAUCUUUAAUACACAUGUUUCUCAAGCUGAAGUUUUCUCCGAUAUCCAGCCUUUGAUUAGAUCUGUUCUUGAUGGAUUCAAUGUGUGCAUUUUUGCAUACGGCCAAACUGGAUCUGGCAAAACAUAUACAAUGAGCGGCCCCGGCAAAUCAAAAGAAGAUUGGGGUGUUAACUAUCGAGCUUUAAAUGACUUGUUUGAUAUCUCGUUAAAAAGGAGAAACACUUUCUCAUAUGAGGUGGAAGUGCAAAUGGUUGAAAUAUACAACGAACAAGUCAGGGAUCUUCUAUCAAAUGAUAUUGCACAAAAGAGACUCGGUAUUUGGAGUACUUCUCAACCUAAUGGACUUGUCGUACCCGAUGCUAGUUUAAUUCCUGUCAAAUCAACAUCGGAUGUAUUAGACUUAAUGGAAAUUGGACAGGCAAAUAGAGCAGUUGGAUCAACAGCGCUGAAUGAAAGGAGUAGUAGGUCCCAUAGCAUUUUAACCGUGCAUGUGAGAGGUCUGGACGUGAAGAAUGGAUCUACUUCUCGAGGAUGUCUACAUCUGAUUGAUCUUGCUGGGAGUGAGAGAGUAGAGCGAUCUGAAGCAACCGGAGAUAGAUUAAAGGAAGCACAACAUAUUAACAAAUCUCUUUCUGCUCUUGGAGAUGUCAUCUUUGCUUUGGCCCAGAAGAAUGCUCAUGUGCCCUACAGAAACAGCAAACUGACUCAAGUUCUUCAGAGCUCUUUAGGUGGGCAAGCAAAGACGCUAAUGUUUGUUCAGAUAAACCCUGAUGUGGAAUCAUGUUCAGAAACCAUAAGUACUUUGAAAUUUGCUGAAAGAGUUUCUGGGGUUGAGUUAGGUGCUGCAAGGAGCAACAAAGAGGGCAAGGAUAUAAAAGAUCUGCUAGAACAGGUUGCGUCUUUGAAAGACACAAUAUCGCGAAAGGAUAUGGAAAUGGAACAGCUUCAAGUCAACAAAGUCAAAUCUCCCAGUUCAUUAACAGAUAAAAGUGGCAGUAGCUUGCUAAAACAGUCCUCUACGGCAAGCCAACAGAACCAACUAAUAUCAGGGUCCAUUGGAUCAGGUGAAACUGAAUACGAAGAUAAUGCAUCCGACGAUGGUUGCUCGGUAGGUGAAACCGAGUAUUCUGUCGGCAGCGCUUCUGAAUCAGCAGCAGAUCGAAUGCAAAAGGGUCCAUCAAGACUGACCAGAUUUUUCCUGACGAAGAAUGGGCAGCCAGCGGCUUCCAGACCAAAACCAAAGGAACCUGUUCCGAAGACGACGAUCAUAGGUCGCCGGAACUCGAUAGCUAGCCAGGUCCCGACCGCGGCAUCUUCGAUCAAGCCGCCGAAGAAACGGGUGGUCCAGUAG